Helianthus annuus (common sunflower) is the source of this 585-nucleotide long non-coding RNA. RefSeq lists it as uncharacterized. The transcript has 5 exons. Lineage: Eukaryota; Viridiplantae; Streptophyta; Magnoliopsida; Asterales; Asteraceae. The record is from RefSeq and is a predicted model, not a curated record.
CACCUGAGCUCUGGUGGAGGAGACUAGGGUUUCGGCGAAGAUAAAGCCAUCGGAGGCUGAACCACCGGUGCAGGUAUCAUCUUCAUCAUCUAAACUAUCAUUGUUGGGAACAUGGAUGCCGUUUAUUGUUUACAAUUAGAUCCAUUGGCAGCUAUUGAACCAUCUUUCUUCAAGAUUACGGGUCGGAGCGGUUGCAGGCGGAACAUAUCCAGCAAUUGGAGUGGAUACAACCUGGUUAAGAAACAGGGCUCGAAGGCGGUAUACCUUCCAUAAAAUGGUCUGGUGUAGAUGGAGAGGAUAAUGUUUUAAUUAUUGAUUUGCUAGGACCGAGUCUUGAGGACCUGUUUGUGUACUGUGGGAGGAAAUUUCAAUUGAAAACAGUCUUGAUGUUGGCUGAUUAAAGGAAUUUCGAAUAUAUACCCUACAAGAGUAAGAAUUUGAAGAAUCGAGCCAUUAAUGCUGAAAGACCAUUGAUGGGGAAUGAAAUGUAAAGAAGCACUUACAAAUUUUGGCUUUGAUACUGCCUAUAAGAAUCUUGAAUUGGGGUGAAGGAAAUUAGGUCUCAAAAUAAAAGCCGGAAGGAAA